ACAUGUGUUACUUCAAUUUGCUUAUAAAAUUCAUUAGUUUUAUGAUAGCGUUUUGAAACAUUUGUUUCGUUAUUAAGUUUCUACGUUCUUUAUUCGUUUUUUUUGUAUAAAUUCUCCAUGUUAAACGAUGCUUCUUAUCAUUACACGUUGGAUUAAGAUUAGGAUAGAGGAUAACCUGCAUCAGUGAAUCAUUCAAAUAACAUUUGGUUAUUGCUGAGAGUCAAAACAUGUUCAAAGGAUUUAUAUUAUUUACGACUAUUUUACCAUUAGCAUAUGGUAUAUGGUGGGCCAACGGAACACCGUAUUAUGGAAAUUGUGAUUCGCAUGCCGAGUGCCCUAAUGAUACUGCCUGUUUGAGGCCAGGCUUUGGCAGCGCUGAUACUUCGGCACAGAAGAAAUGUUACCGAUG
Long non-coding RNA from Ruditapes philippinarum (Manila clam), 409 nucleotides. RefSeq lists it as uncharacterized. The record is from RefSeq and is a predicted model, not a curated record. The transcript has 4 exons. Lineage: Eukaryota; Metazoa; Mollusca; Bivalvia; Venerida; Veneridae.